CUGAGGCAGGCAGUGAGUUCUUCCCAUGCAGCAGCCUUUCAGCAGGAGGUGGGUGAUGUUCAUGGCAACCUGUCACAGGCAGGUCUGAGCUGAGGCCUUCUGAAGUGGAAACCUUUGAAAUAGGGUCUGAGAGCUAAUAAAGUGGAGCUGUUUGAUCUAUAAUGUGAUGAGUGGCUGCCGUGGGCUGUUCUCCCCUUGGAGAAGCUGCAUGAAAAGCCAAUUGCACCACUGACUGCUGGUUAAGUAAUUCAUGGGUUUCUCCUAGAAGUCCUACAAAGAUGAUCAGAAAGUUGUAUUAUGGCCUUGUGCAAAAAUGAUCUGCUAGGAGGAAGUCUAAAAUUGAAAUGUCUUGGAAAUAAAUCUCUGAGAUGUGUUUCUAAUACACCUUGAACUUUCAGGUAAAUCAUUCUGAUCCUCUGUUUAUUAAUAAUGGUUGAGAUAGAAGAUGUAGCAAACUUUAUAGCAAAAGUGUAUCACAGAAGUUUUUCAGAAUAAAAAAGAAAUGUUUGUUGGUUAAGACGUUAGGGCAAAAGUAUGUUUUAAUCAGCUAUAGUGGCUUGAAUUACAGCCAAAAGUGACAUGAGUUGGUCUCUCAAGAUCUGACAGGCCCUUGAUGUGUGGCUUAACAUGGCAGUGACUGGAGGGGAUCAAGAAUCCCAAGUGCAGGUGGUUUUAUGGCAAUGAGCAGGCUGGUUCAGUUAUGGAGUUGGAGGGGUCCAUCUUAAUCAACAGCUUGUGUGACAAAAGUCAUGAUUUUUAGGAAAGUGCUGCAGUGUUUAAGAUGGAAUCACAGGCACACUGGGCUCUGAGGCUCCAGAAGGUGCAGAAGAGAUGAGACUUGCAGGCUGCCAGCUCUGAGCAGAAGCCCUCCUCAUGCUGAGCACAGUUAGUGUGUGCCAUGAAAACAUCCAAGCUGUGUGUUUAAACUCCCUGCUGUGAGCAUCUGUCCAUGCGCAGAGCUGGUGGUGUGAUGGGGAAAGGGGGCCUUGGAGCCACAUUCAUAAAUGUCAUUUGGGAGGGGACACUGGAAUGACUCCUGAUGCAGUUUCCUGAUGUGCCUGGUCAGUUUAUGUCACACAGGGAAAACAAAACUGCUGUUUAGGUUUUAUUCAGUUGCUGUGCCUGAGAAAAGGUAGUAAAGGACUCGCUGAGAUGGCAGUGCUGUGUCACUGUCAGCUGUCAUGGGGUUUAUCAAUUCUUCUAAGAACAGCACAGCAAACCACUGUGGUUUUGGCACAAGUCUUGGCUGCCCAGAAAACAGGGGAGUGAUCUAACACCUUCUGUGUCCUGGAGGCUCUGCUAGCUUAGAGAAGUGCUUUGAUGGUAAUUAAUACUGGUGCACCAGAGAGAAUGGGUGGGAAAGAGGAGGAGGAGGAUGAAGGCUGGUUGCUUACAGAGCAAUGUAUAUCUGAGCUUGCCACCUACUCAGGGUAUGGCAGAACUGCUGCAUAAUACCACAGGGAAUCACUUGAGGAGCAAGAUCUCAUUUAGCAUGGAGGGGAAGGGGUGGUGUUUCACACAAUGAAGACUGUGCAUCUCCCUGAAGGGGCUUAUGUGUGGAACAAGGCAAACCCACAGCCAGAGGGGCUGUGGGUGCCUGUGCCAGGCUGCUGUGAAUUGUGGAUGACAUGGCUGCUGCUUGUAGACACGAGCAGCAAACUACAGCUCCUGGGUGCCCCCAACUUCAGCAUUACAGGAGUAGCCUCAACUCUGAUUGUCUUUAGAAAUUACAGGUGUUGCACAUUCCCAUGGUUAGGACAGAGUGAAGAGGCCAGUAACUACCAUGACUGGAAAGUUCUAAAUUCCAUUGAAGUUUUUAUUCAUUGGAUCUCAGAGAGAAUAGUUUAAUAUACAGACAGAAGUUUCAUGUCUUCUCCACGUAACAGCAUCUUUCUUUAAACCCAGGAUAACUGAGCUGAGCAGCUCAAACCCGUGUCCAUAUGCUUGCUUUGUGCUGGAUGCAGGAGUCCUGUGGCUACCUCAAGACUUGCUGUAUUUUCAGUAUAGGAAUUUGUGUGCAACUGCUGUACAGGGCAGCAUAAUUGGAUUUACUGAACUGUAUUUUGUCAUCUUGCCCUGGUUUAGCCUUCCUUCUACUGUAAUCCAAAGUUACCCAGAUUUAAAAAAAAAAAAAAAAAAAGUUUCUUUGAGUGAAUCUGAACCAGCAGAAUGCUGAGCCUGACUUUAUUGCAGGCAGGAAAUCCCACCUUUGGUGUGUGCCAGCACCUAAGAAAAGGGGAAGAGGGAAGUGUUAUUUGCAGGGUAUGUGACCCUUUUUUGGGAUCUAAAGGCCUUUUUAGGAUUUUGCCUCGUGCUCAUGCCUGGAGCAAGAAAGGGUCUUUUGUUGUAACUGUAACAAGAGUACACACAGGCUUUUUACAGCGUUACAAAUAAAUGUGCUGGAACCUAUAGCCCAAAGUGAAGAUGAAUUCAGGGCCCUGAAAGCAGUGGCAGCUCCAGUUUCUUUCACCUGAUUGUACCAAGGAUUUGGGUCACAAAAGAGAAGGAUAAUUUACAGCUUAGCAAAUGGGAAAAACUCUUUCUAGCUGACUUGCUGGAACUCAACCCUGCAGCAAACCACUAAAGUCAGCAUUAUGUCGUGAGCAAUUAAGUGAGAUGACACUUCUUGCAGAAAGAGGGGUGCUGUUUUGGGCAGGUUUAUAGAUGCAGCAGUUCUUUGCACGUGGAAGUUACAGGCUGACUUGUUAGUUGCUUGACAUCAGUCAGGCUUGGACACCAGUCAGUCAGUAUUUUUUUCCUGCUUCCUCUGUAAUCAAAGACACUUUUCCAAGGUGAUGCUGAUUGCAGCAAGAUAAACUGGACAUCUUGCUUGUUAAGCAGAUGGUUCCUUCUGCAUGGAUCCCUUCAGUGCUGUGCCAGCAGGGGAUCGGGCAGUCAAACAGUGCUGGGGAGGGCCUGAGAUGAAGGAGCUUUCUGCUGCAGAUUUCAGUGUGUGCAUUCAGCUGCAGAUUCAUAGUGAGAGGCACUGCAGGUUGCCCCGGAAAAGUAGAUGGACUUGGGUAUUUCUUGGUUUGCAGGGGGUGAGGGCAGUACGGGGGCCACAAAUCACAGCUUCCCUGUUCUUCCAAGUGAGAUACUCUGUAACUGCCUGGGCAAAUUACCUUAGCUACAGCAGGACAGGAGUAAAACUGAGCAGGAGAUGCCAGGCAUUUUCACAAUGGGGAAAGAAGGAUGUGCCAACAUCCUUCACCAGCCUAGGCCCAGUGCCGUGUGGCUUCUCCCAUGUCCCACUCCCAUAUGUGCCCCUCUCCCAUUCCUGCAAGGCCACAGGAUGCCCGCCAGCUCCUGGAGUGGGCCCAGCUCAUUUUGAACUGCCACUGACCUGCAGUUGCCAGGCUGCUGCUGAAGAGCUGUCAGCCUUCUCAGCACCUCAGAGAUGAUAAUCCCGAGGGAGCUUUUGGAAUGACCUCCUAGUGAGCCAGCUAACAUCAGGCCUGAGCACAGACAGGCAUUACGCUAAUACAGUAGCAUUUUGUGUAUGAGUGAAAAGUCUUCUUGGAUAAUUAAGACUGUGUCUAAAAUCACAGUUACAGUAUGCUGAUCUAUAAGGAAACUCAGGGACAAGAGCAGCACACCUUGGAAGAAGCAGUCAAAAAGCCAGACCCUCACAGGUUUGCUGCAGAUGAAGUCACAGGCAGUACAGAACUGUGAGAGGCUCAGCCACUGCACAGGUAUUUCCAAAGACAUGAAUGAAGACGAGAAUAAAGAUAAAUGAUAAUGAUGUCAUCUCCAUUGUGCCACUCACAAGAGCACCAAAGACACUUCCAGCUCUUCAUUUGCUAAAGAAACUUCCCCAGCCUUUGCAUUCUCCCAGAUGUCACACCCCAUCCUCCCACCAGCAUCAAGCAGCAAAUCUUGGAACAGCAAAACAGGAUCUGCAUCUUGGGAGGCACCAAACUUGCCAGGAGCCCCAGAAGCCCCUUGGGCAGGUAUCAAAUUGUUUGAGCACUGUGCUCUUUUGAAAGUCAAACUGACGAGGACUCAGGAACCUUGUGUCUUCUCAAAAGAGGCCAAUGGAAUCCAUCUUUUGUCAGGUAGCAGGACACACACAGUCUGUUCUCAGGAAGAUCAGGAGUCAAAAAAAAAGAACACUUCAGAACACUAUUGAGAGACCUGAGCCAUUGUGCAGGCCCAAGACGGGGCAAAGAGGACUCAUUGAGACAAGGUGCACCUGCUAAAACUGGCACUAAAACCAGGCAGCUACUGCAAACCAGCAGUGCCCAGCACCAACAGAAAGCAAGUCUUUGUUCUUCUGGCACAAGAGGACUCCUUUACUGUGAGUACCACAUACAGAUCAAACGUUUGUAAUCAAAAAUAAAGAAGCUAGCCAAGGGAUUUGUAUUAAAAUAAAGAUUGCAGAUCACAGUGUGAACGUACCAGUGAGUCCCAUGCCCAGCCAAGCUCUCCCCAAGCAACCCUUCCUCUGAAGGAGAGCUGCAAGGAGACAGCCUGAGCCAACAGUUUCUACAGCAACUGCAGAAGCACCAGUUCAAUGAUAUUCAAACCGUGCAGUAACUGCAGAAGCAUCAGGAAAUGGAUACUCCAGAAGGAACAUUUGACAGUUUCUCCUGGGCUCCCUCUGCCUCCCUGGGCAUUCCAUUGAUCCCAAUCAGCUUAGGUCAACUCUGGAGUUGCCCCUUUCUCUGCAAAUGCUUCUGAAUCCUCUUUACUCUAAUAUUCUCUCAGCACACUUACUCCCUUUCAAAACUUAAUGGGACAGCCACCAGAGAGAGUUUUGUAGACACGGUGCUGGAAGGAUGAGUGUCCUCAUCCUGCAAGGGAGAGACCAAUGCAUCCACGUGUGCUGCUGCUGCAACUCCUCACAGAGGGUGGAAUGCUGUUAUGACAGUGGCACUGGGCUGCUGCUGCACCACUAAAAGCACAUUUGGAAGCAUCUCAAGGGGAACCAAAGCAGAGGCCAGUUAGCACCCAACUGCACAGAAAGAGCAGAUCCAUUUGUAAUGUGGCUAUUUUAAAACUAAUGUAGAAGCCUUAUUAAGGAACACAAAAUAUUUCACUAUACACUUGCUAAGUUCUUACCUAAGAAUUGUCAUUUAUGGAAGGAUGUUUAGGGCAGGACAUCUCUUAUUCCCCUUUUAAGAAUCUGCUGUAAUAAAUCACAGCACCUCAACAGUCACAGUUUCAUCAGUUCCAUAUUGCAGGAGUUUUUCCCUAAGUCUGCAGUGUUACUUUGGAUCACGCUGAAAUACUUGGCAUGAAGCUCAGGCUCCUGACCCACAGCAAAAAGUUAAACAAAAUUGCUCGUUUGUUUUUAAAAGGGUCAGGAGGUUUCCAGUUUCAGGCUCCUCAGUGUUCAGGUUGAAGGGAACAGUAUCCACAGUGACAACUCAGGGACAUUCAGUAUUCAAGCCCUCUGCAAAGAAUGGGCUUGAUCAGAGACCUGUCAAAGAUGCACUUUGUAAGCUGUUCUCUUUUAUUAGUUUAUUACAUAAGGCCACAUCCACAAAACCAGGUUUUUGGUUGAGAGAUCACUACUGACUUCCAACUACCUGCUUUAAAAAAAUAUCCUUUAUCUCCUGAGCUAACAAAAGUUGCUGAAUUCCCCCAAAAGACAAGGCAGACCAUAUAAACAUAUUCAGUGUAAAAGACAAUCUCAUUCCUACACUAAUGGUAGAAGAAAGAAAACAUGAAAACAAAAAUAUUUUGGUUUUAUCUUCAUGCCUUUUAUCAUGAUUUAUCCAGAUAGCACCAUCACUAUUGUGACUGUGACAGUUGUUAUUUCUAAAAUAUGAAGAACUAUGAAAUCCAAAGUGGAAAAGCAUCAUAUAAGUUGCUAAAGCAUGCAGAGAUGACUUCUGGAUCAAAUAUAUUCCUUAGCAGGCCAGUUUUGAAGGAAUAAAGACUGCAGUUCCAGACAACCAUCUUUUAACACAAAUUAAAAUUUAUGAACAGUGUCAGGUUCCACAAAAUUUGCUAAGACUGAAAAUUCAACCAAAUUUUUUAAAUUGUUGAAAACCCCCCAGUUACAGGAGGUUCUUAUGUGCCUCCAAGGUGGGAGUCAUGAUUCUUUUCUCUUACACAAAUUUAGACAACUGUGUUCUCUCUUCAGCCUUCUGGCCAUCUGUAGAGAUGAGGAGGUGUGUACAGAUGUGGGCUCAGAGCAGAACAAGCUACUUCUCUGAGCUCAUAUUUUUGGCAGUCACCAAUUUCACCCUCACCCACCAGAAGCAAAGAAGUUAUCUGUUUUGUCUCCCCGCCCUUUUCCCAGUAUUUGCCUUUCUUCCUGGCUUUUCUAGAACACUUGUCACCAUAUUUACUGGAGUACAUUUAUUACUGGUUUUAAAGUAAGAGUUUUUGUGAGACAGGAAAACAUUUCAGAUCUUUAUAGGGGGAACUUCAGAUAUGAAGAAAUAAAAUUGUGUGGUAAGUCAGCAGCAGCACCUGAAAAGGGAACAAAUGCUGCCCUAAUCAAUACUUGCAGGUUAAUUGCCAGACACUUCACUGGAACACAGUGUUGCUCAGUGCCUGCUGUUGAAGAGUUUUACCCACUUCCAGUUUUGGAAGCAGUGCUCCCAGUUCUCCUACACCCCAUCCCCGUUUACCACACACUGCAGUUCAGCCCCGGUGAUGCUCUUUCAGGUCACCCAAAUGGCACAGCUGAGCACUUUAAAGGAACAGAUUAAGUCUCUGCAUGAUUGAAGACUUGGACAGCAUGGCUGGGUAACCAAAGAAGCCCUAAUCUAUUUGCCAAGUCCAAUUACCUAGCCAUCGAAUCAAGAGAUCACAAAGCAUUAGGACAUGGAAUAACUGUUCACCAAAUACUUUUAGCUCUCUGAAAAGAUGACAGUCACUGAGAAACUAUGACAUGGAAAAGGCAUCAUUCAAAGCAGAGGUGGGGAGAAAUCAGUUCUUGGACAUUUAUCUUUUCCUCUCAAUUAUGAGAGUAAAGGGGAAGAGAUUGGGAUUGGAAGAGCAGUAAGAAUCCAAAUGUUGAGUUUCUGUUUCCUUGAAAUCCCAUCAAGUAUCCUGCUUGGAGAUCCAUGUUUGCUCCUUGUUCCAUCAUACCACAGCCCUCAGCUUUCCAGUGGCUGUGUCUGUUCUCUGGAGUCACAGGCUGUACAUCUACCCUUCAUUCCAGAGUCUUUUCUAUUAAAGCAAAUCCCUUCAGAUUGUCACAUCAGACAUAGAGCAAUCGGGCAGAGCAGAGAAGGAAAAGUAGAAGAGUACCAGGAGGGUCACAGAGCAAACUCAAUCCCCAUACCUAGAGAAAAAGAACAAGUUUCCGCAUGCAAAGAGCUGCCCCUUUCAGCACAGCUGUAUCAAAAACAGGAAUAAAUUACUAAUAUGUCUCCUUGUCUUCAUACUGGAAAAUGGCUGUCUUCAGCCAGCCCCAGCAUCAGUCACACCUGCCAAAACAUCACACAGCUUUCUCAGCUGGGAAAACCAGCCACGCAGGUUGGGCCACUGCCACCACAGCCAGGGAAGGAACACCACAUAAAUAGCUGUUAUGUGCAUUCAGCUUCAAAAUUGAUCAAACUUUAACACGCGUUAGUCAGCACUUCCACAUUCACUGAUGUGAUUUGUUUUACAGUUAAAAACAACCACCUGCAGCCCCAUCCCAUGGACCUUCCCCACACAGGGUGCCACCAUUGGACCCUUGAUGAUCAUGCUCCUACUCUGUCAGAAACACAGCACCAGCUGACUGCCAUGGGGCAGCUAACUCAAAUGCUUUCUAUUUUCAUUUUUUAAUACAAGUUGUAAUUUGUUUGUUGAAUGGAUCUAUUCAUACUGUCCUGAUAUGUCGCCUCCAGGUGAUGUGUUUGGUCCAGCUGGUCGGUGUCUUGCUAAGCAGGCUGUAAAAAGACCUUGUAAAUCAAACACCUUUAUUCAGGUAUAUACCAGCUGGCAAUUGUAAAACAUCACCUAUUUCAACAAUGGCAACUGAAUUCAGUGGAGUAUAGCAUGUCAGCUUGUUUCCUUGCUGAAUUUUGUACAGUCUCUUUAGUGAGCAAGAUAGCACACUUAUAAUUUCAUGUUAGUUCAUGUUAUGAAAAAAGACACCAUGUUUAUGGAGAAGGUUAUAUUGGGACCAUGCUUUGGCUGCUACAUCCUAGCAAAGAAAACAAAGCCCUGCAACAUGUGAAGAAAAUUUUAUGCCUCUUUCAAGAUCAACCAUGAUUUACCACAAUCUUGUUAUGGGACCCAUCCCCUGCAAAUUACAGACUAAAAAAAAGAUGCAUUAAUUUCACAAUGUCAGUGGAACUAUGGUAAACCAUUUUUUGGCAAAAUCUUGGUGGAAGGAAUCAGUUGUUGUGUGCCCAAAAAGCUCCUGCCCACAGCCUCUGGCCUCCUCAGCCUCUUGAGGGAGUGUUUUGCUAAAGCUCAUUUCUGGAAGCACAAAGCAGCUGCACAGAGGUUGUGGGGCUGGGCUUCCCACACACCCGUGGGCUGUGCCGGCCUUUCCACAAGGCAGAUCCUGCUGGCUGAGAACUGGGAUUAGGGAACAUUUGGUUUGGGGUCGUUACCAAGCCAGUCCAAUAGCUCUGGAGGAACUUUGCCCCAUGGAAUAUCAUCCCCGUGUGUCAGGGAAUACUGAAGACUCUUGAGGGCCCAACACUUAAGACGCUGUGCCAACACUCCAAUCUGCUGUGUUGCAAGUCAAACAAGAAAUGUGUUCAGUCGAAGUGUCUUCCCUCCCAAGAAUCAGAGUUAAAAGAGAAAAGCACAAGACCCUAAACUCAGCCUGCCCUUUGCUCCUACCAGGGGGCAAUUUCUAUGGGGUAGCACCAGUUUCUCACCAUCGAGUUCAUUUACUGCCAAGCCAAAUGCCAAGUUCUGCUUUAAAAUCUAAAUGAAUUCUGGUUCAUAAGAUUUCUUCAAGUUUUGUGACAUCUCACAGCUACCCACGAGUAAGACUGUUCUUCCCAACCAGAUACUCAAACAUAAAAUUUUUCAAUAAAGACAGUUUAAACUAAAUGCACAAAAAGAACAAGAAGCAGCAAAAUUUAAUUUACUGGCAUAGCCAUACACACCCCAAUUUUAUUUUCUUUUUAAGCAUACAAUUAAGGGUAAUUUAAUUCCCCUGUAUAGGCAUUACAUGAAAGAGAAACGUUAUUGUAAAAGAGCUCAAUACUGUUGGUACACAAACCUUACGACAGAUAAAUUAGACCUUAGGAAAACAGCAUAUAAUUUACAUUUUGUUAUGUCAAUCACCAGGAGCAUCUUAGGGCUCUUAAAUAGCACACUAAACCACAACAUAAGGGAACUAAUGUAAAUCAACACAUGUGGCAGGAUCACUUAAGUUUCCACAAUCCAAAAGAUCCGUAAAAUGGAUUUCAUAAAUGAUUCCUCUUCAACAUCCACUUACACCUUUAAGUUAUCAGCAGGUUAUGACAAUAUUUUAAGACAGAAGAGUUAUAAAGUUUUGCAUAGUUAUAGAAAAAUCAACCACAUAUAACCAUAAGGGCAUGGGGUUUACUAAUUAAUCCCUGGUCCUCAUUAUUGGAGAAGCCAGUGGGCAGAUGUGCAGGUGGCCCAGAGAAACAGCAGCCUGGCUCAGCUGCAUGGAAAAUCCAGCCUUGGGUUAGUCCCAGACUUGGGUUUAGCAACAGAGGAGGGACAGAGCAGCCCAGGACGAUGCUUUACAUACCCUUCACAAACAGCAGAACAAAUGACAUACUCUGAAUUUGUUCUGGGGCUUCCCCUACAGCCAGCACCUGAUCCACAUUCUGACACCACACAGGAAAUUAGCAGAAAGGUCAGGAUGUGCAUUGCACAGCAGAGCCAGGAGCACAAGGCAACAGACCAACGUGGGGUGGGCUCCAAGAAUUCUGUCCCUUCCAGUCCAUGGUAUUAGAGGACCAGAAACAUAAUUUACCUACUAAAUAAAGUCUGAAAAUUCAGAGUGCAAGAUGUUUACUUGCUCAUAUAAUUCUUAAGAAUUCCUCUACAGGUUUUUUGUUAAGGGACAUGAAUUGGGGUUUUCAAAGAAGUUAAAUAGGAACACUGUCCCUCUGUGAGCUGACACAGACACAAACUGUGACACUGUUUUCUGUCAUCAGUGCUCAGUGAAAAACUCACACAUAAGAAGGAAAAGCUACACAACUGCCAAGAACUGCAGAAGUACAACUGGAAAAAAUACUGUCUUUGGCCUUGUAGCUUGUAUCAAUUAUUGCUUUUAACAAAAGAUACCAGCAAUGCCUUUCAGGUAAGGCUUCUCCUUCCUUAAACAUCAAGUACAAAGUUUCUGUUUGUCAAAUCACACUGCAAGUACAACAAACGUAGUCAAACUAUGGUUUCUACAGAAGGGUUUGAGACUUGCAUUUUUCUGUUCUUUAAAUCUCUUAACAUUUCUUUCAUAUUGCUUUAAACAGGAAUUUUCCUUUUGAUUUCCUCACUGCAGCAUAUUCAGCAGCAAAACAAUCUUCACUUGCCAAUACUGCUGGGCUACAGCAAAUCCAGGACACCGCAGCAGCCAAGUGCUCCUCAUGUGGCUGUUGUCAGAAAAGUCCUCGCUCUCCCCAGCCCAAUCCAAAGUAAGGUACUGACCCAAAAUGCUGAGAUGGUGAGAGACACCAUAAACCCGAACUCACCAAGAGCUGGAGCUGAGCCCAGAGAGGUGCAGAGUGACCCUCUGCAUCCUCAUCCCCCUAGCAUCUCCCUCAGCAGCCAGAACAUCCCAGCACCUCCCUCCCACCUGCUCUGAGCGCUCCCCCUCACCCAGUCCAGCCUGUAAAAUACACAAACUGCCACAGUUCUACUCCUUCUAAAUUGAUACUUUGACACAUUGGCUACUUCUAGGAGUAUGUACCUCACCCCAGCCCAGGACAGAGCUCCAUGUUUUAACAGACACUUCACCAAGCAUGCUCACGGUGCCUUUUUACACACUCAGAAGAUUGUUAACCAGCUAGAGCCUUUCCCACUCCCCUUUUCCAGCCAUGCUCUUCAAAGAGCUCUAUUUACAUGCCAAGCUACAAAGCAACGUGGAAAAACUGAAGCUUUUAUGAUUCUACAGUGAGGUUUUUCACAACAUGAAGCAGCUUCUUAGACUAUUUUUUUUUUCAUUUUUUUAUUUCCAAACAAGAUUUCACAGUUAAAAAAAAAAAAAAUCUCAGUCCACCCACAGGCUUUUGAGGAACAUUAACAGAGGGUCUUCAAAAGAAGAGAGCUCUGCAACCUUAAGCAUUGCAUUCUGAAUGAACAUCCAUGGAAAAACUGCGUACAAGUCAGAAACAAGAGUCACCAAAACCCACAUAUGCACCAGAGUUGAAACUAUUUCUCCCAUGUUUAGGUCUGGCAUGGCUUGCCUUAUGCCAUCUUCUGUUGUACCUUUCCAAUUGCUUACUGUCUUCUCAUUUACUUCUGAGCCUUUGGUUUGAAAUCAGCUGUGUCUGAAAUCCCUUCUAGGACAAGCCACCAAGCCAGUGUUGGUCAUUUCCUCAGCAGCAUUGAUACCAGUUUGCCCUGGGGCUCCCCCAGCCCCCAACACACAAGAAUUUCUAUGUGGAACCUUUCUCCAGUUCCCCGAGAAAUCAAGUCCUAGAUUUCCACCUCAUAUUCUGUCAACCACACAGAGCAAGAACUGACACUUCAUCAGCAUCUUCUUUGUGCAGAGAUGAAAAAUACUGCCAAGAGUUCAGCAGAAACGAGUCUGGAUGAACAGCCUGUGCAAAUAAAGCCCUUUAUAAAACCAGGACUAACCAAACUCGCAAGACUGAAGAUUCUCUUUGAACUACAAAUGCCAAAGGAGCACCAGACUGGCACCAUCAAUGAUGAGAUUCUGAGGAACACAGAACUGAAAGCAUUAAACCCUCACUGUUAGCAAUCCUACUCCCUCUUCUCCACAUUUCUCCCUGCAUUCUACACAAAAUGAAGCAUAGGAAAAUGGUUGGAAAGCUCCAGACAGAAGAAAAUUAUACAUGCCAAGAACUUCCAGGGACAAGUCUAACUUCCUAAAAAUGACCAGGAAUUUAGUAGAAGCUUCAGCCAUCUGCUGACAGAUUUCUCCUUCCUCUUUACACUGGCAGGAAAUAACUACAACCCAGCUUGUACACCUUCCAUGGAAGAGGUGGGCUCGUUAAAUUCUUGGAAAACAUUCUUCAGAGAGAGAACAACGACCUUGAGCAAACUCAGAAGUACAGCAAUGCAACCUCUCCAGGGACACUGCCAGGCCUUCCUCGCUUGCCAUUCCAAAAGUUUUGUUUUAAGGCCUCCCCUCCAAAUAGCCAGCACUGCUCCAUACUCCUUCCUUCCUUCCUCUCUGCCACCACUGCUGCUUCCUUUGGGUCUCAAAAAUGGUUUCCAUGUCUUUAAAAAUCAAAGAAAACUAGACCAAGUUUGCAAACAGUCCUUUCUUCUCCAUUCCUUCUAAAGAUGUUAAAGUAUUCUGCAUGAAUGGAGGAAAUUAUUUUAAUUUUCUGUUUUUACCCUAGAAGGCCAGGCUUCAAAUGUUUGCUGGAACACAAGUAUUUUAAUUUAAGUUAAAUAGCCCAGCUAUUUUAAUUAACUUACAGUUUCAUAAACAUUUUUUGGAACUGGAGAUCUGAAAUAUGUGACAUUCUUCAGAAUAAUCCUCACUUAAAUCUUUCUCUGCUUUAACCACACUUAACAUUUCUGAGUUGUCACAACAAAGUACAGUAAAACUUUUAAAAAUUGUUAACAAACUAGAGGACACAGAUACAGAAAAAAAUUAAUUCCAAUGUAUCUAGGACCCCCUACGUUAUCAAUUUGCUCUUCUGCCAUACCCUGUGCAGGAACUGCUUGGAAUACUCACUCUCUUAUUUCUGUAAAUCACAAGGCACCCUUUUCACAGCCACGUAAAUAAAUAAUAAGACAUUUA
Cyanistes caeruleus (blue tit) is the source of this 12820-nucleotide non-coding RNA. The record is from RefSeq and is a predicted model, not a curated record. NCBI's taxonomy places the organism in Eukaryota, Metazoa, Chordata, Aves, Passeriformes, Paridae.